CACAAGUGCCAUGUUAAUUCCUAGAAGUGUUUGGGAAGUAUAAUAGAGGGUUGUAAGUGAAUAAAGAAGCUUGAGUUCGUGUUGAUUUUGAAACAGAAAAGGAAGUGAAGGAAGAAAAAGGGAAAGGGAAAGAGAGGGUCUAAGAAGUAAUUUAACGAGAGCUCUCCUAAACCGGCUUUCAAAGAGCUCCAGAGCGCUGGAAGAGAGGAAAGAAGAAGCUGGUUGGGAAGUUGGAAGAUAUGGUGGAUCUCGCUGUUUAUAUUUGCUCUAGCACACUUGCAAAAAGCAAAUUGGAGAAGAUCUUUAGCCCACUGAUUGUCUCUGUAUGUGUUUUCUUGAAACGGAAUCUUUUGCCCUUAAUGAAUCCUAACACAGCUGGACAGCUCCUUCCCGGACACUGAGAACCCUCACCCCAAACUGACCCCAAUUUGACACCACAAGAUGAAAUUUUACCGCCUGUUAAAACCAUUUCC
Molecule: long non-coding RNA, 473 nt
Organism: Thamnophis elegans (Western terrestrial garter snake)
Lineage: Eukaryota; Metazoa; Chordata; Lepidosauria; Squamata; Natricidae
Exons: 2
Source: RefSeq, a predicted model, not a curated record